GUGGGCCUCGGUCGGGUUAUCGGUCUCUCGACUAGCUCUUCGCGGAAAUAUCAUUGUCUCGGUCGAGACAGCUUGCGAGCGUGCACGCACGGUACGCUGACAGGCUAUGAAGUUGGCAGUCUUCUUGACCCUCGUGUUUGCUACGGCUGUUGCAGCACUCGGUAAUUUUGAAACCAAGUGCAAGCCAGCAGCUGAUCGUGGGCCCUGCAGUGGACGCAUUCCACUGUGGGCUUUCAACGUCACAAAAGGCCGAUGUCAGCGAUUCUACUUCGGAGGCUGUGACGGGAACGAGAAUAAACACUACACGAGGAGACAGUGCGAAUUGACCUGCGUUUCUCUCUGAUGCUUCAGGAAAUGGCGGAGGACCGCAAGAGAUACGCGAGUACAGCAACGAUCUUUUACCCGUUCCUGAAGUGCCCAACCUUAUGUGGUCUGUGCUCACUAACCCGGCUUGCCUGCUACCACCCGAUCGAGGCAUGUGCGCCGGCUAUCUCUAUCGCUUUUUCUACGACGCCACCUUCAGAACGUGUCAAGGUUUCGUCUACGGUGGCUGUGGCGGCAAUGCAAAUAACUUCGCCGGCCUCGACCAGUGUUACGAAGCUUGCAGUCCGAGGCAACGUCUGCUACCACAAACAUAAUGCCACCAGACUCAUUCCCAACGAUGCAUUUUUAAUGUUUGAUGGAACUGCUUGUAAGUGGAAUAAAGUACCCGUCAUUUUAGGAACAUACCUCAUC
Molecule: long non-coding RNA, 735 nt
Organism: Rhipicephalus microplus (southern cattle tick)
Lineage: Eukaryota; Metazoa; Arthropoda; Arachnida; Ixodida; Ixodidae
Source: RefSeq, a predicted model, not a curated record